GAUGAACGCUGGCGGCGUGCCUAAUACAUGCAAGUCGAGCGAACAGACGAGGAGCUUGCUCCUCUGACGUUAGCGGCGGACGGGUGAGUAACACGUGGAUAACCUACCUAUAAGACUGGGAUAACUUCGGGAAAACGGAGCUAAUACCGGAUAAGAUAUUGAACCGCAUGGUUCAAUAGUGAAAGACGGUGGUGCUGGAACUGAUAGAGGGAUCCGCGCCGCAUUAGCUAGUUGGUAAGGUAACGGCUUACCAAGGCAACGAUGCGUAUCCGACCUGAGAGGGUGAUGCUCCCCACUGGCCCUUAGACACGCUCCCUCCUCCUACGGCCGCCAUCCGUAUGGCCUCUUCCGCAAAGGGCCAACUCCUGACGGUCCAACGCCCCGUCAGUGAUGAAGGUCUUCGCAUCGUAAAACUCUGUUAUUAGCGCAGACCAACUUUGUAAGUAACUAUGCACGUCUUGACGGUACCUAAUCAGAAAGCCACGGCUAACUACGUG
This 497-nucleotide ribosomal RNA is filed under the name uncultured bacterium. RNAcentral describes it as "partial 16S ribosomal RNA". It matches the Rfam family "Bacterial small subunit ribosomal RNA", at positions 28 to 507 of the family's 1533-position model. The record is from RNAcentral.